AGUCUGAUGUGAAAGCCCCCGGCUCAACCGGGGAGGGUCAUUGGAAACUGGGGAACUUGAGUGCAGAAGAGGAGAGUGGAAUUCCACGUGUAGCGGUGAAAUGCGUAGAGAUGUGGAGGAACACCAGUGGCGAAGGCGACUCUCUGGUCUGUAACUGACGCUGAGGCGCGAAAGCGUGGGGAGCGAACAGGAUUAGAUACCCUGGUAGUCCACGCCGUAAACGAUGAGUGCUAAGUGUUAGAGGGUUUCCGCCCUUUAGUGCUGCAGCAAACGCAUUAAGCACUCCGCCUGGGGAGUACGGUCGCAAGACUGAAACUCAAAGGAAUUGACGGGGGCCCGCACAAGCGGUGGAGCAUGUGGUUUAAUUCGAAGCAACGCGAAGAACCUUACCAGGUCUUGACAUCCUCUGACAACCCUAGAGAUAGGGCUUCCCCUUCGGGGGCAGAGUGACAGGUGGUGCAUGGUUGUCGUCAGCUCGUGUCGUGAGAUGUUGGGUUAAGUCCCGCAACGAGCGCAACCCUUGAUCUUAGUUGCCAGCAUUCAGUUGGGCACUCUAAGGUGACUGCCGGUGACAAACCGGAGGAAGGUGGGGAUGACGUCAAAUCAUCAUGCCCCUUAUGACCUGGGCUACACACGUGCUACAAUGGGCAGAACAAAGGGCAGCGAAGCCGCGAGGCUAAGCCAAUCCCACAAAUCUGUUCUCAGUUCGGAUCGCAGUCUGCAACUCGACUGCGUGAAGCUGGAAUCG
The sequence is a ribosomal RNA, 748 nucleotides long. It matches the Rfam family "Bacterial small subunit ribosomal RNA", at positions 586 to 1334 of the family's 1533-position model.